RNAcentral lists this long non-coding RNA (7144 nucleotides) under Coffea arabica (coffee). Its description in RNAcentral is "long non-coding RNA (CARA_LNC001503)". Lineage: Eukaryota; Viridiplantae; Streptophyta; Magnoliopsida; Gentianales; Rubiaceae. The record is from RNAcentral.
UUUGACAAAUCUUAUAAUGUUACUUAUGACAGUGUAGAGAAAGCAUAGAAAAAUAUGGAAGAUCCAACAUACGUUUUCUGAAAAGUCUGCAAUAGAUACCAUAUGUUUAUGGCAGGGAGCAGAUCAUACUUACAAACUCCAAAAUAUAAACAUUAAUAACAAAAAUGAAAGAAAAUUUUUUACAAGAGACUAAAGUAAGUCAGUAAAACCUUUCCCACAUCAUUACGGCCCAAAUCGACCAGCAUUAUAUGUUCUGCACAUUGCUUUUUAUCUUUUAAAAGCUGCAGCUCCUGCAUCUCAUCUUCAUGAGGUGUCUUCCCUCUUCUUGUAGUUCCAGCCAAUGGUCGAUUAACAACCCUUUUCUGUCAAUAACAUUGAUACAUCCACAUUAAUUCUGUAUCAAGAGCUCUAUACUCAAGGCCAAAGUUUAAUGAUAUACCUUCUUGACACGAGUAAGAAUUUCUGGGCUUGAAGCAACAUGAAUACUUCCUCUAGCCUGAUCAAAUAAUGAAGACACCAUAGUUGGAAAACUUGCUUCAGACAAUUAAGAGAAUGGAUGUUCUUUGUAUUAAUAGAAGUACUAACCUGCAAGUAAGCCAUGUAGGGACUUGGAUUUAUUACUCUCAGUGCUCUGUAGACUUCAAAUGGAUCAGCAAAUGUUCUCUUCUCAAAGCGCUGACUUAAAACAAUCUGAAAAAUAUCUCCAGCAAGGAUAUGCUCCUUUGCCUGUAUGACAGCUUUCUUGUACUCUUCUCUUGUCAUGUUACUCUUGUUCAGAGAGAGUCCAAAAUUGUUAGUCCACAAUUCAACAGAUCCUGCUGAUAGCAUUGGACUGAAAAUGGAAAUUUAAUAUGUUAUGAUACAGAAGAUGUAAAAUCAAAAUUGAACCAAGAAAAUGUUAUGAUACAGAAGAUUCAAACAGUAACUUACGGAUCAAUAUUUUGUACUUUUGACAUUAGUCUUUCCAAGCGUUUCAUACCACUAGUGUAAGCCUUCUCUCUUGAUGGAUACUGAUCUAACUGCACCCAGUGGAUAACAUAUGCUUUCUGCAUGAACAAGAAGGAUUCUUAAUAAUCACUCAGGAAGAAUUUCCGAAACAAAUGCAAUUGGGUCAGCCCUGAGAGAGAGAUCACAGUGACCAUAACUAAUAUAUAAGGGUAAAAGCUAUUUUCCGUCAAUCUAGAUAAGAGGCUAAGACAAGCUGGUUCAUGUUCAAGAAUUACAAGGAACUAUUAAGGGAGGAUAAAAAUAGUGGUUAGUGACCUCCCACGUUCAAUAAAGAUUCCAUGAUAUAACAGCUAUUAAGAUGAAACUCACUAAAGCUUAGAUUGUGCAUUAAUACAUUAUCAUAGAUCUUAUCAAAUUGUCUUUACUACCAUAAAGCUGACUGAACUCAGCUAACAAAACAAUGUGAACAAUCAAGUUUAGACCUCCUUAUAUAGGUAAUUGAUUAACUUGUACAUUCCAUUCACUGUCUGGACUCAUUAUACAGCACAAAAACUGAAAGAAUUAGACAAACACAGAAAGGCAUGCACAUGCAGAAAGUGAUACAAGAAUACCUUCUCUACAUGAUCAAAUACUAUCACAUCAUCAUACAGCCCCAGAUGAAUGUCAGCAAGGCUCCGAUCAUCGCGUGGCGCCUGAGAGAAUGGCAGCUUCUUCUUCUCAAGGUACCUAACAGUGUCGUAAGAAAAAUAACCAACCCAUCCACCUGCGCAUGAUGCCCAAAGAACUCGUAAUUAAGUAUACAAGAAAAGUUGUAAACCUAGCAAUACAGUCUCCACUUUUAUUUCUGUUCACCUCUCAAGUAAGAGCCUACCAUACAAUUUUUCACAGCAAAUUCGUUUCAAACAUUGACUUUAUGUCUAAAAUGCAGUAACUCUAUCAAAAGACAUGUCAGGCACAAAAGAAAGCACAUCCAAAACAGGAAUGAAUAGAAAAAAUAGCUACUUCCGAACUAAAUUCUUCUACUCCCAGUAAUGGAAGGUAGUUGGGAAAGUAAGAGAAACAUAAUAAUACCAAAAAGUGUGUGAUUCUUCGAAAUAUAUGGAUGUCCAUGAUUAUCGUCUUUUAAAGAGGGCAUAUUUAGAUCUCCAAACAACAAGAAUUCCCUGUAUUAAAUAAGAAUUUUGACGUCUAACAUUCCGAUGCCUCCACCAGUUCAGUCAAGAAGAGUGCCACUGAUGGAGAAGAAACAGCAAGUUUAUGGGACACACUCAAAUUACAUCUCCUACUUUCUACAUUUGAAGUCACUAGAUACUAAUUUCAGUAACAGAGAGAACCCAUAAAACCUCUCCGUUACAACGGCCAAAUUCCUGUCUAUCACAAAACAAUCUUCAUCCAUGGCUACAGGCUGUUGGAACACAAUUCUGGGAAGGAAAAGCCCAAAAGUUUAUGUCCAUCACAAAUCUUACCCUAACUCCUUCACGGAAUCCUCAUAAUCUGAUGUGCAAAAACAUUACUUACUGUUCUUACAGAAUAAACAGGAAGUUACAGGAUACAACCUCAAAAAAGGAAAAGUAUUUCACGAGUUUACUCGAUUAUGAAACUUCACGUUUUUAUUCGAACUUCAGAAAAGUUUUUUUUUUUUUUUUUGAAUGAUGCACAAUUAAAUUUUGUUUUAAAAGAAAUGGAAAACCUGAGCCGACUUGAAAACAAAAGAAUAGACAGAUAAAUAAGAAUAUUCUAGUUAACGAGUCCAACUAGAAAGGAAAAACGAAAUUACUGGUUCGAGUAAUGUUAAAGUCAUACCACAAAAUGUAUCAGGAAGUUCACUAAUCAACUGAGGCUUCCAACUUUCAGAAAUUUCUCUUGGAAUCGUCAUCGGGUCCUCCACAACAAUCUCCUUCAACUUCCCUUUGUAGUGAUCCAAGAUGGUGACAUCAUUUUCUUUUGCCACGAUUUCCACCGCUGGCUGAGCACCGACCACGCUGUACCGACCCUAACAAUUCCCAUUUUCAACACCAGUUAAACCAAAAAUCUACAAACAUCAUAAAACACGUGCUAUAAUGGAAAAACCAUAUUCUGAAGGGGAACAUAGAGGCUUACAACAUGGGAAGUUCGGAAACCAGGUUCUACGGACUCGAAAAGAAAGCUAGGAGCCUCCCGGUCGUCUUCUUUAACUAAGCAGCGGUAUGCAAGCACGGGAGUCAGAUGAUCCGAGAAAAUACAUUGGUAGAGCGGAAUGACAUUUCCAUGUCUGGAAGCUUCCAUAAAUCUUUUUUUAUCCGUCACUGAAUAAAUUGAGAACACAAAAGAAUAAAUAAAAAAGAUCCACGAUUGAAACAACCAUGUAAUUAAAGCAUAGUUGAAAAAUGAAGGGACAUUUUAGGGAUAACGAUACUAUUUAUGGCAGCGUUUUCACCUGAACGAGUGAAACAAAAAUCAUGAAGUCCAGCACAGAUUAUACAGAAACAAUUUGAGCAUUAACCAAUGAAUGAGCGUACCUGGAGAUGAAGACUGGAGAGAGCAACAUUGGAGUGAAGGAAGGGAGCGACGAAGAGAGAGACGUGAGCUAAAGCUGUGACUAGGGGAGAAUUCGAAGGAAACAACCGGACACAAGCGGCGGUUCACCGGAGAUAACCGGUAAUUGGCAGGAGAAAGUCGAUUGGGAGCAUGUAGGGCUUGCAUUAUUAGUUUUUUUCUCUCUAAUUAUAACGGCCUGGUGCAUUCAACCUUCCGAGGGACUCAGAAGAAGGAACGGAAGCCAAUGCUGAAAAUGUGAAAUGCAGCUUAUUACACUUCACCGUCUGCGAAUGCUGCUCGGAGCAAAUAAGGACAGGAAGGACAGCGGUGAGUGCACCAGACUCCAGAGGAGAUUUUGGGGGAUAGUACAAAUAAGAGGAAGAGAGUUUAGGAAUCUGGUUGAGAGUUGAGGGUUGAGACGGUGCGUCUCGUCUCGAAGUUGUGUCGAAUUCUUUUACAGCGUCAGCGAGCACGUACUCCUAAUAUGCACCGCUUCCAAGCCAUUAGCCACUCUAUUUAUAGUCACACGCCUCUGCCCAUUUACUCCAGAAGGCCUGUUUAACUGGGGCGAAACUUUCACACCAAAAAUGUGAAGAAUUAAUUUUUAGGGUUAAUUACAAUUUGCUUCCUUAAACUUGACCCUUUAUAACAUUUUGCCCCCAUAAACUUUAAAUAUAUAUACUUUGCCCCAUUCAUUGACUAGUCAAAUAUUAAUGAUGAAUUCUCCCCCCAAAAUUUUAACAAAAUGGCAUUAAUGCCCUUACAUAAUAGUUCUACAAUAAUGCUAUACUUUUAAUCAAAAUAUAAAACAUUUUGUUAGAAAAAACACAAAGUCAUAUGAUUUAAAAAAUUUAGAAAUAAAAGAUGGUAUAAUACCAAAGAAUUGAAAAUUUUUUUAUGGAGAAAAAAAGAAUUUAAAAAAUCCUAAAACAUCAGCACAAGUUUUCCAUUACUUAUCUUUAUUCCUUUAAAUUGUAAACAGAUUAGUUUUGAUAAUUUUCAUUUACUUUGCAGCUGUCACAAGAUUUUCACGAGUCAAUAAAAUGUUAUUUGGUAAUUUUAUAUCACAUUCAUACGUUGCUUUGUAUUUUAUUUGCAUUCUACAUUCUACAUUUUUAAAAAAAAAAUUAAGUUCUCUAAUACAUUUUUAUUUUUAAUUAUGUUUUUUUUCUCAUAUAAAACACAUAAAAAAGUGCUACAAUAAAAAAAAUAAGCAAAUAAUUUCAUUCCAAAUGCACUAAUUAAUUUUAUUUCAUUUAAAAUAAGUAUUGCUACCGACAUUGAGAUAAAUACAUUGAGUUGGUUAAAUUCUUUUUUGCAAAUUAUCUAAUUCAUUUUAAGGCUAAAAGAUCGAAAUGCCUAAUGUAAUUGUAUUUAGAUGCAUUUAGCAAUUAUAAAAAAAAAAGGUGUUUAUUAUGUUAUGAGUGUUUAAGAAUUAGCCAAGGAUGUUUUUGUCAUGAAAAAUAUAACUUCAUCUUAACUCCGUCAAAAAGUUGAUUAUAAAGGGUAAAGUAUAUAUAUUUGGAAUUAGAGGGGCAAAGUGUUACAAAUACCCAAGUUCAAGGGAGCAAAAUGUAAUUAACCCUAAUUUUUAUACAUUCAUUGUGUAUAGACUUUUUAAUUAGGGCACAACUUCACGCGAAAAAUAUAAAGAAUUGAUCUUUUAUAUAAUGAUAAUGUAUAUACUUUCAGCAUGAUAUAUUACACAUGAUCUAGAUUUGAAUUUAAAAUCCAAUCCUAUAUAUAGAUUACUCAAAUGUAUGCCUUCUUUUAGCACAACCAUGACGACUUGUAAUCCAUAUACAAAACUUGAUUUAACAACCGUGGAGACAGUUUUCUCUAGACAAAACCAUGAAACGAACAACUAUUAGUAUAAUUUAGGUAAAUGAACUAGUCAUUAAGCUAUAAACCAUCAAUUUAUGUUAAGUUUUAUAUGCCUACUUAUCUUACGAUGUCGUCAUUAGGUAACUGUAUCCUUCCUUCAUCAAAUGAUAAUUGAUCAUUUUUAUGAAGGCAUUCCAGAAAUGUUAACAGAACUAAUUUACAGAUUUUUUACCUAAUAUGGGUCCAAAAAUGAUAAACAAACAAAUGAUGUUUAGUUGAGUUUUAUAUGCCGACUUAUUUUUCGAUGCCAUCAUUAGGUAACUACCUUUCCUUCAUCAAAUAAUAAUUGAUCAUGUAUUGGAAGGUUUUCCAGAAAUGUCAACAAAAUGUAAUUUAUAAAUUUUUUCCCUAAGAUGGGACCAAAACAGAUAAACAAAAAAUAAAACAAAAUGGAGAAAUUUUAUUACAAUCUAAAUCAAUUAUUAGUUUGGCAUAAUUUUAUUUGAAGCAUUUUCAUUGGUUAAAAACUAGUAACUACUAGGUUUGAUUGUAAUAAAGAUUUUUUUCAAACAAAAACGUAGGUUUGACACGCAAAGAAUACCAGUUAUUUUUACGAAAUUAAUGAAAUGAUUAGUAUGAAUAUCCAUUCGUCUCCCCAAAAGAUACAUUGAAACGUUCAUCUUUAAAGGUUCAUUGGAAUAGCAUCUUCUUAUAAGUUUGUUUGUUGGUUCAUUAUGGAGCUAAAUUCAUGUAUUUGAAAUAUAUAGUAAAUUCAUGCACUUAUAUAUUCAUGCUAGUACAUAUACCUUUGAUCUUGUAUCAUUUAUAAAUAGAGGUAUAUAAGACUCAUUUCUAAUAUUUGAAUAAAAAAACAUUCUCACUAUUUCCUUUUCUCCGUUCUACAAUCUUCAUUUUCUACUUGUAAGGAAUUUAUUUUAUUAAUUUCACAAUAAUUUAUUUAAUAUUAAUGAAUUCUCAAAAUUCAUACGUCUCGUCUCUCAACCAACACUAAACGUCUAAAAAUACAUUGGGCACAAAGUAAGGAUAUAGUACUAACUUUUGGUGCUCCACUAACUGUACCAACAGGAAGUGCAGCACGCAGUGCAUCCCAGCAAGUAAGAUGAUCAAGCAACUCCCCUGUGACCUGUAAUAAUGUCCCAAUGGUUUUAAACAAAAUGGUUACUCAAAUAAAGCCUUCUUCAACUCUCAUGAGUUUAUGAAGGUGUUAUGAGGCCAAGACAUUUAAAGCUACUGAAAUGAAACAACUUCUACCCGCAGGAAAACCGGCAACUCUCUAGUAUGAAAACCAAACUAUAUUGUCCAUACUAUGUAAUUACUGCAACAGGGAUGAACAAUUUUAUUUGAAAAACUGAUAGUCAACAAGGCUUUAUGAUGAUAUUCUCACCGUGGAGCUUAUGUGCAUCACAUGGGAGUACCGCUCAACAGUCAUAAGUUUUUCAACAUUUACAGAACCUGGCUUCGAGACCUACAUUUGACAAAUCUUAUAAUGUUACUUAUGACAGUGUAGAGAAAGCAUAGAAAAAUAUGGAAGAUCCAACAUACGUUUUCUGAAAAGUCUGCAAUAGAUACCAUAUGUUUAGGGCAGGGAGCAGAUCAUAUUUACAAACUCCCAAAUAUAAACAUUAAUAACAAAAAUGCAAGAAAAUUUUUUACAAGAGAGUAAAGUAAGUCAGUAAAACCUUUCCCACAUCAUUACGGCCCAAAUCGACCAGCAUUAUAUGUUCUGCACAUUGCUUUUUAUCUUUUAAAAGCUGCAGCUCCUGCAUCUCAUCUUCAUGAGGUGUCUUCCCUCUUCUUGUAGUUCCAGCCAAUGGUCGAUUAACAACCCUUUUCU